This 468-nucleotide ribosomal RNA is filed under the name uncultured bacterium. RNAcentral describes it as "partial 16S ribosomal RNA". It matches the Rfam family "Bacterial small subunit ribosomal RNA", at positions 28 to 507 of the family's 1533-position model. The record is from RNAcentral.
GACGAACGCUGGCGGCGUGCUUAACACAUGCAAGUCGAACGGAAAGGCCCUGCUUUUGUGGGGUGCUCGAGUGGCGAACGGGUGUGUAACACGUGAGUAACCUGCCCUUGACUUUGGGAUAACUUCAGGAAACUGGGGCUAAUACCGGAUAGGAGCUCCCGCUGCAUGGUGGGGGUUGGAAAGUUUCGGCGGUUGGGGAUGGACUCGCGGCUUAUCAGCUUGUUGGUGGGGUAGUGGCUUACCAAGGCCUUGACGGGUAGCCGGCCUGAGAGGGUGACCGGCCACAUUGGGACUGAGAUACGGCCCAGACUCCUACGGGAGGCAGCAGUGGGGAAUAUUGCACAAUGGGCGGAAGCCUGAUGCAGCAACGCCGCGUGCGGGAUGACGGCCUUCGGGUUGUAAACCGCUUUCGGCUGGGACGAAGCGUGAGUGACGGUAAUGGGUAAAGAAGCACCGGCUAACUACGUG